GGCAGUGUGGUAUAGUGGUUAAGAGUGUCAGACUGGUACCCAGAAGACCUGGGUUUAAAUCCCCACUCUACCA
This 73-nucleotide transfer RNA is filed under the name Sphaerodactylus townsendi. Its description in RNAcentral is "tRNA-Thr". The record is from RNAcentral. Lineage: Eukaryota; Metazoa; Chordata; Lepidosauria; Squamata; Sphaerodactylidae.